RNAcentral lists this ribosomal RNA (373 nucleotides) under Escherichia coli. RNAcentral describes it as "bacterial SSU rRNA". It matches the Rfam family "Bacterial small subunit ribosomal RNA", at positions 283 to 648 of the family's 1533-position model. Lineage: Bacteria; Pseudomonadati; Pseudomonadota; Gammaproteobacteria; Enterobacterales; Enterobacteriaceae. The record is from RNAcentral. RNAcentral also lists the same sequence under 1 other name.
CUAGCUGGUCUGAGAGGAUGACCAGCCACACUGGAACUGAGACACGGUCCAGACUCCUACGGGAGGCAGCAGUGGGGAAUAUUGCACAAUGGGCGCAAGCCUGAUGCAGCCAUGCCGCGUGUAUGAAGAAGGCCUUCGGGUUGUAAAGUACUUUCAGCGGGGAGGAAGGGAGUAAAGUUAAUACCUUUGCUCAUUGACGUUACCCGCAGAAGAAGCACCGGCUAACUCCGUGCCAGCAGCCGCGGUAAUACGGAGGGUGCAAGCGUUAAUCGGAAUUACUGGGCGUAAAGCGCACGCAGGCGGUUUGUUAAGUCAGAUGUGAAAUCCCCGGGCUCAACCUGGGAACUGCAUCUGAUACUGGCAAGCUUGAGUC